This 65-nucleotide transfer RNA is filed under the name Trigonopterus carinirostris. RNAcentral describes it as "tRNA-Ala". The record is from RNAcentral. Lineage: Eukaryota; Metazoa; Arthropoda; Insecta; Coleoptera; Curculionidae.
AGGAUAAAAGUUUAGUAAACAUUUAAGUUGCAUUUAAAAAUAUUGGAAACCCUCCAAUUAUCUUA